Molecule: long non-coding RNA, 972 nt
Organism: Eubalaena glacialis (North Atlantic right whale)
Lineage: Eukaryota; Metazoa; Chordata; Mammalia; Artiodactyla; Balaenidae
Exons: 4
Source: RefSeq, a predicted model, not a curated record
CUCCGCGCUGCGCUGCGGCCUCCCGGGGACCAAGAACAGACCCCGCCCCACUCGCGAGCUGCUGCUCCCCGGCGCUGCUUCCGCCACCCUACGAAGGGCCACUCGCCUCCCGUGUUGCCUCUGUCUCUUCGGAAACAUUCCCCCGACAAACAACCCCCCGCCCUCAAGGCGCCGCUCGGACCUCGGGCUCCUGCAAGACCCAGGGGAUCACGGUAGAGUCUCCCCGAGCGCAGUAGAACAGCACCCCCGUGUGGCCCUGUCCUCCGGAACCCGCGGAAUGGCCGGAUUCGUGGGCUGCAGCAGAGACCCGCCAGACCUAUGCUAAGUAACAACGCAUCUUACCAUCGAUGGCCUCUUGGAUGUGAAUGGUCACUGGAGUAACAGUAAUACUCAGAGAAAACACUCUUGUAACACUUACUAUGAGCCAAGAGACACUGAAGACCAGAGCUGCCAUGCAAGAACUUUGACUGCCCUGAGGCCACCAUGAUUAGAGGAAGCCCAAACCAGCCCGCAUGGAGAGACCACGUGGAGAAGCCCUGUGACUACAAGGAGAGAGAGAGAGCUGCCCACACACCCCCAGCUGGUACCUCAACUGGGACACCCCACUGUCCCAGCUUCAGCCACCAGCUAAUUACAUCCAUAUGGGAUCCCAAGGCAGAACUGCCCAGCUGGACCCUUCCCAAAAAUCUGACCACAGACAUGGAAGAAGGUUACUGCUUUACUACCCAUCAGGAGGAAGGAAGAAUUUCUUCUUGCCCAGCAAUGGUCCAGCCACUAAAAGGCUGUUACAACUCUGCCAAAGAAAAGCGAUUAAACUUCAAGCUCCCAGUUUCUUCCACUGGACUCUGUUUAUAACAUCCCCUCCCAACUCUCCCUUCUCCUCUAUAAAAGAAUGUCCCUCUCCUUUGUUCUCCCCACUUGCUUGUGCCUUACCAUAGAAUCCAUGUCCCAAAUUGUAAUUCUCUGCUAUUC